RNAcentral lists this microRNA precursor (156 nucleotides) under Lotus japonicus. RNAcentral's name for it is "miR5287c stem-loop (lja-MIR5287c)". The record is from miRBase by way of RNAcentral. Lineage: Eukaryota; Viridiplantae; Streptophyta; Magnoliopsida; Fabales; Fabaceae.
UUACGUACACCCUCCGGUUAUAAAUAUAAGGAAAAAAUAAUAUUUUAGGUUCAUUCAAUAAAUGCAUGUAUCUAGUCAAUACUAGAUACAUGCAUUUAUUGAAUGAACCUAAAAUGUUAUUUUUUGCUUAUAUUUGUGACCGGAGGGUGUACGUAA